Molecule: ribosomal RNA, 1675 nt
Filed under: Escherichia coli
Lineage: Bacteria; Pseudomonadati; Pseudomonadota; Gammaproteobacteria; Enterobacterales; Enterobacteriaceae
Description: partial 23S ribosomal RNA
Rfam family: Bacterial large subunit ribosomal RNA
Source: RNAcentral
AUGCUGGAGGUAUCAGAAGUGCGAAUGCUGACAUAAGUAACGAUAAAGCGGGUGAAAAGCCCGCUCGCCGGAAGACCAAGGGUUCCUGUCCAACGUUAAUCGGGGCAGGGUGAGUCGACCCCUAAGGCGAGGCCGAAAGGCGUAGUCGAUGGGAAACAGGUUAAUAUUCCUGUACUUGGUGUUACUGCGAAGGGGGGACGGAGAAGGCUAUGUUGGCCGGGCGACGGUUGUCCCGGUUUAAGCGUGUAGGCUGGUUUUCCAGGCAAAUCCGGAAAAUCAAGGCUGAGGCGUGAUGACGAGGCACUACGGUGCUGAAGCAACAAAUGCCCUGCUUCCAGGAAAAGCCUCUAAGCAUCAGGUAACAUCAAAUCGUACCCCAAACCGACACAGGUGGUCAGGUAGAGAAUACCAAGGCGCUUGAGAGAACUCGGGUGAAGGAACUAGGCAAAAUGGUGCCGUAACUUCGGGAGAAGGCACGCUGAUAUGUAGGUGAAGUCCCUCGCGGAUGGAGCUGAAAUCAGUCGAAGAUACCAGCUGGCUGCAACUGUUUAUUAAAAACACAGCACUGUGCAAACACGAAAGUGGACGUAUACGGUGUGACGCCUGCCCGGUGCCGGAAGGUUAAUUGAUGGGGUUAGCGCAAGCGAAGCUCUUGAUCGAAGCCCCGGUAAACGGCGGCCGUAACUAUAACGGUCCUAAGGUAGCGAAAUUCCUUGUCGGGUAAGUUCCGACCUGCACGAAUGGCGUAAUGAUGGCCAGGCUGUCUCCACCCGAGACUCAGUGAAAUUGAACUCGCUGUGAAGAUGCAGUGUACCCGCGGCAAGACGGAAAGACCCCGUGAACCUUUACUAUAGCUUGACACUGAACAUUGAGCCUUGAUGUGUAGGAUAGGUGGGAGGCUUUGAAGUGUGGACGCCAGUCUGCAUGGAGCCGACCUUGAAAUACCACCCUUUAAUGUUUGAUGUUCUAACGUUGACCCGUAAUCCGGGUUGCGGACAGUGUCUGGUGGGUAGUUUGACUGGGGCGGUCUCCUCCUAAAGAGUAACGGAGGAGCACGAAGGUUGGCUAAUCCUGGUCGGACAUCAGGAGGUUAGUGCAAUGGCAUAAGCCAGCUUGACUGCGAGCGUGACGGCGCGAGCAGGUGCGAAAGCAGGUCAUAGUGAUCCGGUGGUUCUGAAUGGAAGGGCCAUCGCUCAACGGAUAAAAGGUACUCCGGGGAUAACAGGCUGAUACCGCCCAAGAGUUCAUAUCGACGGCGGUGUUUGGCACCUCGAUGUCGGCUCAUCACAUCCUGGGGCUGAAGUAGGUCCCAAGGGUAUGGCUGUUCGCCAUUUAAAGUGGUACGCGAGCUGGGUUUAGAACGUCGUGAGACAGUUCGGUCCCUAUCUGCCGUGGGCGCUGGAGAACUGAGGGGGGCUGCUCCUAGUACGAGAGGACCGGAGUGGACGCAUCACUGGUGUUCGGGUUGUCAUGCCAAUGGCACUGCCCGGUAGCUAAAUGCGGAAGAGAUAAGUGCUGAAAGCAUCUAAGCACGAAACUUGCCCCGAGAUGAGUUCUCCCUGACCCUUUAAGGGUCCUGAAGGAACGUUGAAGACGACGACGUUGAUAGGCCGGGUGUGUAAGCGCAGCGAUGCGUUGAGCUAACCGGUACUAAUGAACCGUGAGGCUUAACCUU